RNAcentral lists this transfer RNA (73 nucleotides) under Mustela putorius furo (domestic ferret). It matches the Rfam family "tRNA". From Rfam's summary of the family: Transfer RNA (tRNA) molecules are approximately 80 nucleotides in length. The record is from Rfam by way of RNAcentral. Lineage: Eukaryota; Metazoa; Chordata; Mammalia; Carnivora; Mustelidae.
GCCUGGCUGGCUUAGUCAGGAAAGCACGUGACUCUUGAUCUUGGGGUCAUGAGUUUGAGCCCCACGCUGGGUG